This 492-nucleotide ribosomal RNA is filed under the name uncultured bacterium. RNAcentral describes it as "partial 16S ribosomal RNA". It matches the Rfam family "Bacterial small subunit ribosomal RNA", at positions 29 to 507 of the family's 1533-position model. The record is from RNAcentral.
AGUGAACGCUGGCGGUAUGCCUAACACAUGCAAGUCGAACGGCAGCACAGUAAGAGCUUGCUCUUACGGGUGGCGAGUGGCGGACGGGUGAGGAAUACAUCGGAAUCUACUUUUUCGUGGGGGAUAACGUAGGGAAACUUACGCUAAUACCGCAUACGACCUACGGGUGAAAGCAGUGGAUCUUCGGACCUUGCGCGAUUGAAUGAGCCGAUGUCGGAUUAGCUAGUUGGCGGGGUAAAGGCCCACCAAGGCGACGAUCCGUAGCUGGUCUGAGAGGAUGAUCAGCCACACUGGAACUGAGACACGGUCCAGACUCCUACGGGAGGCAGCAGUGGGGAAUAUUGGACAAUGGGCGCAAGCCUGAUCCAGCCAUACCGCGUGGGUGAAGAAGGCCUUCGGGUUGUAAAGCCCUUUUGUUGGGAAAGAAAAGCAGCAGGUUAAUACCCCGCUGUUCUGACGGUACCCAAAGAAUAAGCACCGGCUAACUUCGUG